CAACCAAGGAUCGUGGUGGUCAACCAGGAGUUGUGGUGGUCAACCAAGAGUUGUGGUCAACCAAGGAUCAUGGUGCUCAACCAAGAGUUGUGGUGGUCAACCAAGAGUUGUGGUCAACCAGGAGUUGUGGUGGUCAACCAAGAGUCCUGGAGAUCAACCAAGGAUCAUGGUGGUCAACCAGGAAU
Molecule: long non-coding RNA, 185 nt
Filed under: Parus major (Great Tit)
Lineage: Eukaryota; Metazoa; Chordata; Aves; Passeriformes; Paridae
Description: lncRNA (ENSPMJG00000002236.1)
Source: RNAcentral